UAUCUCUCUUUUUUGUCAUGGAACUCGCAAAAUCAUCUCUCUCUUCUUUUGGUCUUCUUAAGGUGACGAAGGUCGAGAGUUUAUCACCGUGGAGCACUGUGGCGAUGAUUUUCUAGCAGAACUUGCUGAAACUAUGCAACACAUUGAGGAUUGGGAUGAUUUGCAAGAUGCAGAAUCAGAAGCUUGUGAGUUUUGACUGAUAUGUUUGGCCAAGAUACCCCUAAUGACGGUGAAUGCAAUGUUGUGCACGAUGUUAACAUUAUAGAGGAUUCUCCACAACCUGAGAAAAAUCAAACAUUUCUUGAGGUGGAUUCCUCUACUGAAAGUGAAGACGAAGAUGAUAUAUUUGGUAGUACUCCGAGCAAUUCGUCCACUCAACUUUUGACUACACGAUCUUUAGAAUCCAUGGACUGUAAGAGCACUGAUACUCAUGGUUCGAUAUCAUCAGUUUCAAGUAAAAGACAUCACUCUCAGAUUUCAACAUGCAAACAAGGAACUCUGAGUAAUGAGGAAUUGCAAGCCUUGGAUGACAUAGAAUUGGCAAAUGUUGUAAUAUUCGGAAACAAGGCAUUUCGACCAAUGCAGCAUCAGGCUUGUAAAACUUCUGUAGCCAAGCAAGAUUGCUUCGUUCUCACGCCCACUGGAGGUGGUAAAAGUUUACGUUACUAGGAUCAAAUAAUUACUCUAACCCUCAAGUACGGAAUACCAUCAACUUUCUUGAGCUCUCAGCAAACCGCUGCCCAGGCAGCAGCUGUCCUCCAAGAACUAAGGCAAGGUUUAGCUCUCUUCCUGCUGAAGCAUAUCCUACUCUACAAUCUUUCUCCCGCCAUAAAAUGGUUUGCUCCAUAUGUUGCAAAGGAUGUACAUUUUUUAAGUAGUUAAUGAAAAGAUGCAUGCCUAAGAUGUUUCCCUUAAAAAUAAAUUUUAGCAUCUUAGCCUUCCGAGAGAAGUAUAUCAUACCGUACAAUCAUUGUCCCUCCAUAAAAUGUUGGGCC
Molecule: long non-coding RNA, 995 nt
Organism: Eucalyptus grandis
Lineage: Eukaryota; Viridiplantae; Streptophyta; Magnoliopsida; Myrtales; Myrtaceae
Exons: 3
Source: RefSeq, a predicted model, not a curated record